RNAcentral lists this ribosomal RNA (301 nucleotides) under uncultured bacterium. Its description in RNAcentral is "partial 16S ribosomal RNA". It matches the Rfam family "Bacterial small subunit ribosomal RNA", at positions 509 to 807 of the family's 1533-position model. The record is from RNAcentral.
CAGUCGCCGCGGGAAUACGUAGGUGGCAAGCGUUGUCUGGAAUUAUUGGGCGUAAAGGGCUCGCAGGCGGUUUCUUAAGUCUGAUGUGAAAGCCCCCGGCUCAACCGGGGAGGGUCAUUGGAAACUGGGAAACUUGAGUGCAGAAGAGGAGAGUGGAAUUCCACGUGUAGCGGUGAAAUGCGUAGAGAUGUGGAGGAACACCAGUGGCGAAGGCGACUCUCUGGUCUGUAACUGACGCUGAGGAGCGAAAGCGUGGGGAGCGAACAGGAUUAGAUACCCCCGUAGUCCCUGUCUCUUAUAC